GAACCACAUGGGUGGAAGGAAGCAGUCUUCUCAUGCCCAGGUACUGUCUCACAUCUGAGGGCAGAGCACAAGGCCGGGAUAAAAGGGCACUGGGGCCGGAGUACCUCCAUCCACUCCUGUCCUGGGCUGCUGACAACGCUGUGCUGCCUAUGCACUGUGAUCUGAAGGAUUUACAACAUUGAUCAUCAUGCUAACCUACAGCUGCGUUCAAAAAGGGACUCUUAUCUCUGAAAACAUAACUGUCCUCCUGGAAAAGCAGAGAUGGUGACGGUAGUGCUCAGCCAGGAGAGAGGAAAUCAGAACUGACCGACCUUUUUUAAACUGUCAGAGUAGUGGGUCUGCAGAAGUGAAGACGCAAACCCGAAAGCCAGGUGCUGAGGUAUUAGUUUGUGAUCCUGAGCCUGCCACCAAGAUGUCCUGCCAGCAGAACCAGCAGCAGUGCCAGCCCCCUUCCAAGUGCCCCCCCAAGUGCCCCACCCCUAAAUGCCCCCCAAAAUGUCCCCCGAAGUGCCCUCCAGUCUCCUCCUGCUGCGGCCCCAGCUCCGGGGACUGCUGCAGCUCUGGGUGUGGGGGCUGCUGCCUGAGCCACCACAGGCGCCGCAGGUCCCACCACUGCAGACCCCACAGGUCUGACUGCUGCAGCCAGCCCUCGGGGGGCUCCGGGUGCUGCGGAGGGGGCAGUGGUCAGUCCUAUGGAGGCGGCUGCUGCUGAAGUGGACCCUGUGCCAAGAAGAGCCGACCUGGGGACAACAGAUGGACAAGCACUUCCUCCUCCUCCUGCCCCUCCUGCUGGGCCUUCCCUUGUCGCUGGGGGUCUGGGUGAGGCCUUUGAGCUCUGGUCCAGGGGUACCUAUUCCUUGGGUCCAGGAGCCCCAAACUCCCUCCCAAAUCCAUUUAUUCACCUCCUUUUCAUAUGUGGGGAAUCUCUGAGAACCCCAAAGCACAGACCCCGUGUCCCUCUGCAGCUUCUCUUUUUGCAUAAACUAGCCUGAUGUGAAACAAUAAAGCUAGAAAUCUAUAUUC
This is a long non-coding RNA of Bubalus bubalis (water buffalo), 1023 nucleotides long. RefSeq lists it as uncharacterized. NCBI's taxonomy places the organism in Eukaryota, Metazoa, Chordata, Mammalia, Artiodactyla, Bovidae. The record is from RefSeq and is a predicted model, not a curated record. The transcript has 3 exons.